AACGAACGCUGGCGGCAGGCCUAACACAUGCAAGUCGAACGUGAAGCCACCUUCGGGUGGUGGAAAGUGGCAGACGGGUGAGUAACGCGUGGGAACGUGCCUUUCGGUUCGGAAUAACCCAGGGAAACUUGGGCUAAUACCGGAUACGCCCUUCGGGGGAAAGAUUCAUCGCCGAAAGAUCGGCCCGCGUCGGAUUAGCUAGUUGGUAGGGUAAUGGCCUACCAAGGCGACGAUCCGUAGCUGGUCUGAGAGGAUGACCAGCCACACUGGGACUGAGACACGGCCCAGACUCCUACGGGAGGCAGCAGUGGGGAAUAUUGGACAAUGGGCGAAAGCCUGAUCCAGCCAUGCCGCGUGGGUGAAGAAGGCCUUAGGGUUGUAAACCCCUUUCAGCGGGGAAGAUAAUGACGGUACCCGCAGAAGAAGCCCCGGUAAUCC
RNAcentral lists this ribosomal RNA (438 nucleotides) under uncultured bacterium. Its description in RNAcentral is "bacterial SSU rRNA". It matches the Rfam family "Bacterial small subunit ribosomal RNA", at positions 29 to 502 of the family's 1533-position model. The record is from RNAcentral.